Bubalus bubalis (water buffalo) is the source of this 941-nucleotide long non-coding RNA. RefSeq lists it as uncharacterized. The transcript is spliced from 2 exons. The record is from RefSeq and is a predicted model, not a curated record. NCBI's taxonomy places the organism in Eukaryota, Metazoa, Chordata, Mammalia, Artiodactyla, Bovidae.
UUCCCAUUGUUGUACAGCAGAAGCUAACACAACAUUGCAAAGCAAUUAUAUUCCAAUUUAAAAAAAUAAAUGUAAAAAAUGUCUUUUAAAAUAAAAAUGUUUAUAAUAAUAAUAUUCCCCCCAAAAUACACUCUCCCCUUUCUGGGCCCACGACUGCAUUUCCCAGCCUCCCUUGCAAUUAGGUGUGGCAUGCAGCUGAACUCUCCCUGGGCAUAUUAGCAGAAGUGAUGUGUGCCACUUUCAGACCAGACCCAUUAACAACACCCAAGUGUGCUUUGCUCCGCUCUUUCCGCAUUUAAAGAGACUUCAAUGGCAACACUCAGGACCACCUGGAAGACACGCAUUCAAGAUGUCAGAGCAACCAGCAGCCUUGAUUUCUGAAUCAAAGCAUGGAGGAGAGCUUCCCUAGACAUAAAUUCCCAGCCUGAACCUUUGAUCAGAAACAGAUCAACUUUUCAUUCUGCACCAGGCAGAGUCCUUGUCUAUUUCUGAAUGUGAGUUCCUCUGCCAGCUGUCAGGCCUCCCCAUCACCCGGAGACUUCCUGUGUUUAAGGAAUGAAAAAUCACCUCCUCAGCAAGACACUUCCAAAUGCCCCUGGGCAUUCAGUUUCUAUGCUUUUGUGAUCUCAUCACAUGGGCACACCUGGGCACACCUUCGUUUAAGGCUUAUUAUCCUCAGCUACAAUGAUUUAUAAUUACUUUGUUUAGCUUUUUUACCACAGGAGUGUUAACUCCUGGAAGGCAUUCCCCUUACUCCACCUUAAAGCCUUUAACCAGGUGUUCAUUCACUUCCUCAUAUCUUUGCUCAAAUAUUAGCUUCUUGCUGAGACCUCACCAGCAAUCCCUGUUUAAAUGUGCAACCUGGCCUUCCUCUUUCCUUGAGCCCUUGGCCAAGCCCCUAAUCCUUUGUUUUUUCCAUUCUAACACCUUUUAGAAUGCAA